Sturnus vulgaris (Common starling) is the source of this 3854-nucleotide non-coding RNA. NCBI's taxonomy places the organism in Eukaryota, Metazoa, Chordata, Aves, Passeriformes, Sturnidae. The record is from RefSeq and is a predicted model, not a curated record.
UGGAAUGAGAUGAGCUUUGAGAUAAUUUCCAACCCAAACCAUUCUGGAAUUCUGUGAUAAAUCUGAGCUGCCCGUGGUGUCCUGGCUGAGGAGAUGAAAUAGUUCUGGCUGGAAUGAUGGAGCAGAGGGACAGCAGGGAAAGUUUAGGAAGGAAAAGGCACUCCUUAGCUUUUGUUUGGCUUAAUCUUGAAAUGAUUCCCCUUGUAGGAGAAAACAUCAGCUGCACAGGAAAAGCUGAAUCAUUGGUACAAAUCUGGUUACUGACAAGUGACUCCUGUGAUGGAAAAGCUGUUUGUGCAGGAGUAGAAGCCCCAAAACAGCUCCCUAUGGAACUGUGCCGGAGAGGGGAGCUGGGAGAAGGAAGCUGAAGGUGGAGGUGUUCCCCAGGAGACUUUGCAGUGCAAACCCCAGCACUCAGUCCUGUGCUGCUCACAGAGAUUCCAGGGAUAUCCAUGUGGGCACACAGAGCAUCCUGAGCUUUUAACUCUGCUAAUGAUUCCAGUUUCUGCUCCCUCUCUGCUUCUGGGGCUGCAGGCUUCCCUCUGGCAGGCAUAGCCAUGGGAUUGCCUCAAGGACAGCUCCCUGCCCUGAAUUCCCCUGGCUCACUGUGCUAAUUCUGCUCUGUUAAUCACCUUAGAGUCCAUUUAAGGUGCUUCAUGCCACUGGACAUUUAUGUGGGUCACAGCUCAGCGACACCUUUGCCCUUUCUGCAUCAGCACCUGGACAGAGGUGACUCGUCCCUUGCCUUUGGUGGCUGUCCCCUUUGCCAGGUCACCAGUGCCGUCUGGCAAUGCCAGGAGGAAGGAGGGAAGCACCAAUCCAAAUUUCCAUCAGACUGAGGGCAGUGAUAAUCAUGUCUCAGGAGAGCUGGAGCAGUGUCUGAUGGGCAAGAGAAGUUUUGCAAGCACCCCAAAAUCUUGGUAGCUCUGGCAGACACUAGUCCUUAAUAGGAGAGGGAAACUGAGUUCCAAAUCUGAUCCAUUUCACAAUGGAAUGAUGAGUAUGUGGACAAGACCUCGUGGGCUGUGUUUGAGCAGUGCCUGAACCGACUGAGUUGGGAAAACCCAAAAAAACAUUUUCUGUUGUCAGCAGUUGAACAUCACUACUUUCUCUCCUCUCCUCAUGCUGGUUUGAAAAGCCUGGCUUUACACAUUCAAAAUACACAAAAUUACUGAAACCCUGUCUCUUACUGCAGCACGUGGGACUCAUCCCUGUCCCAACACCACCACAUCCAGGAGAACUUCUCUGAAACCAUUUACUAAAUAUUUCAAUAGAGACCUUAAAAAGUGUUCCUCUCCAUUUGGAGACAUUGCAGAAAGGAAAUUGGUUCUUAACCUCUGUCCUCUGUUUUGUCUUUGAUUCAUUUGUGCAUCACGGGGCAGAGCAGGCUCAACAUCUCUUUGCUUUUCAUUCUUUAUUUUAUUUUAUGCAGACAGAAACGUUCCCAGGAAAUUGUUUGGGCUGGAAGUGAUCUCUAAAGAUCAUCCAGCUCCUGACUUGCCCAGAAGCUCCUGCUGCACCUUUCAAGCCCAGACAUUCUGUUACUGUGGAGCUGUUGAUUUUCUGCAGGGAUGUGGAAGGAGUCAUGGUGCUGGAAUGCUGCUGGAACACAGUGGCUUCACCAUUCCUUGCCCUCUAGUGCUGUUGGAUUCUAUUUCACUCACAUACCUUCACCAAAUCAAGCGUUCAGUUUUAACACUUGGUGAGCUCCAGCGUGAUGGGGAGACAAGAAUGAGCAAGGCACGGAAUUGGCAUUGGCAGCAGCACUUUGAUUUCUUGUUCACACGUUUAUUUCACAUUUUUAUUUCCCCCUCCCCAGGGUGAUGGUGAAGCACAGGCUGUGCUGCUUUGCUCCAUGUGGGGUCGUGAGCGUGGCCUAAAGGUUUGUGGACUUGCAAAGGGUGAUUAUUUCAACUCUGAAUUAUUUUUCUGGAAAUGCCAGACCAGGAAUUGACUCCAGCCGAGAAACCAACAGCAUCUUCAGCUCAGAACCCAAACCUGCAGGUUUUAUCAGGCAUGUGUAAGCAAUAAGGGAACGAAACACACAGAGAAAGUGCAAUAUGGCUCCUAUAUUUUAUAAAAAAACCCCAACUGCUGCUUAAUGAAGGCCCGGCUAAUUGAGGCCAAUUAAGUUAAUCAGGCAAGUGAACCAGCCCCACCCAUUCCGAGGAGGAUGGGUGCAAUCACAGGCAAUUACUGUGAUUAAUCCUCUCAUUGUCAUCCCCACAGGCAGCACCUGGCCAAGAAGUUGGGGAGUUACCUAACCGUGCUCAGGAGGAUGCUGCAGGCAAAGGUGGUGCUUCCAGCAGAGUUUGAAAACCCUGUUGAAAGAAGGAAGCUCACAAAUGUGGCUGCCCCAUCCCUGGAAAUGUUCAAGGUCAGCUUGGAGGGGAUAAAAACUGAACAUCUGAACACCAUGGAGCCAUUUCUCCCCAUCCUGAUGCCACACAAAUUAUGUUGUGAAGUUUCCUGAAGCCUCUAGAACUGGGCUCUUGCAGAGUAAGUAAAACGUGACUUUUUUAAAAAAGCAAUAUUGCUCAUGGAUGAAGCUAUUGAUUUGUAGCAGUUAAUUUUUGUGUAAGAGCCCCCUGUGUUUGCAUUAGGGGAGCCUGUUUAUUCUGGGAUUAAAUGAAAGCCCUAAAAACAGGGUCAUUUUCUGCUUUGAGUUCUGUGACACCUCAUUGCACCUGCUUUUGAGCAGGAUGAGUUUGCCUAUGGAGCAAUUCCUGUGGACUUUGGCAAGCUCCAGUGUUGGUUUUAGGGGACAGAUAAGGAUAACCCAGCCAUCACUUUGUCUCCUGACCCUGCCUGUGGGUUUCCUAUGUCUGCCCCUCCACCUGAUGGGACAGGUUUCAGUGGGUUUGUUUGGCAGAACCAGCUCUGUUAAAGUCUCUGGGCUGACCUCAAAACAGUUUUGACCUAAAAAUCCACUGCUGGUGUCGACCCAAAACCCACCAAACAUCAGAUGGAGCUGUGGAUUGGAAAAGCUGCUGCAAGGUGCUCACCACACCCCAGGAAGAUCCAUGAAUGGGCACAAAAUGGACUUUAACAAAACUGUAAAAUGCUUCUGUGAAGUUUUCACAACAAUUUUGUUCUCAGCUGCCUCCUCAGACAGUCUAGAGGCCAAGUUUGAGUGGCCAGGCAAAUCUUUGACAGGAAAAUCUCCUUUCCUAUGGUGUUUGCUCCCAGGAUGAGGGGAAGCAGCAGCACUGAUCCUGAGAUUGUGAAAGCUAAUAAAGAAAUUCAUCUGUGCAACUAAAAUCAAAGGCAUCAGAGUAAUUCCACUCAUUCCACCACGUGAAGUGGAGAAAGGACUUUCCACACUCACAGGCUAACAGCUCCUCCAUAAAAAGCCCCAGGAAUACCAAGGGAAGCCAUAAUAAGCAAGCCUGAUCCCAGGUCCUUUUUUAGUUUGCUCCCACAGUGUUCUUGGCUUGGCAUCUGAUUUUGAACUGCUAGAAAGUAACAGUUACAAGGCUAAAUCUGAAAUUGGAGUUUGAAUCACCCUUUAUUUCAAAUCCUACCCUGACUCUUUACAAUUCUGAACAUGUUUUUGAUCCCAGAGCAAAACCUGGCUGGUGACAUUCCCACCACAGAAAUGCCCUGACUUGCUUGGUUGGCCAUGCCACCUGCUCGUAGGUUUGUAUGGCAGAAAGCACUCCAAAAGAAACAAAUUCCUGAGCACCAGUGACUCUGGGAAAAAAACCACAUAAAGCAUUUGUAUGGUCAACAAAUAGUUAUGAUUUUAUUGAGUGGUAGAAUACACAAGGAAAAAAAAUGUUCUUUUUGAGUUACUGGAUUUUUAAUUUUUUUUUUUAAGAAUUAAAAAAAACCAGGAGCUGUCCUAUGAGGAA